RNAcentral lists this long non-coding RNA (1381 nucleotides) under Malus domestica (apple). RNAcentral describes it as "long non-coding RNA (MDOM_LNC020410)". Lineage: Eukaryota; Viridiplantae; Streptophyta; Magnoliopsida; Rosales; Rosaceae. The record is from RNAcentral.
UUCAUAGUAACGAAUGCUUCGUCAAUGCUUAUGUUUUUAAUAGAACUUAAUGAUUCUUGCUUGUAUCUCUAUUAUGCAAUUCAUGUAGGGAACUUGUAGGGAAUGUUUUGGGUUGUCGUAUGCAAUCAUCCAACUUAAUAACUUGUGGAGAAACUGAGGGUUAAUUAGUGCAAUUCACGGUUAAUUUGGGGCGUUGAGUAUUUAUAAUUUAUUGGAAGAACAACUGAAAAUCGUUUUGUUUGCAAGUGUGACAUGUAUGGAGAAGAACCACCUAACUAGCCUUUUAUCCAUCUAUUUCACCAAAAUCGUUUUUACAAUCUGUGCUAGUUAAAGUUUCUGUUUUGUGUUAAAUUUUCGUCCAAAACAAAUCCCCCUUUAAUUUGAAGUCUUGGAUUAGUUAGAAAGUGUUUUGAUUUGUGUUUCUAAGUAUUUUGAUUCAAGAUUUCAUCAAAUUUCGUCCAAAUUAGUGUAGGUGCUCAAAACUGCCCAGAAAGUGGUUUUUAGGCAGUUUUGAGCCUUCUAGUUGCUGUUUUGAGUUUUAGGUUUGUUUAAGUGUUUUAACCUUUACUUUUGCAUUCUUUGAGUCUAAGUUAGUGUUUUUAAACUUUGUUUUUGAGUUUUAAGUCAGUUUCCAAGUGUUUAGCAAUCCCUCCUAAUCCCCGGUCUAGAACGAUCCCUACUUACAUCUUUACUACAAUUUGACAAAAAGAGGGUUUAAUUUGUGUGCUUAUCUAUUUCGCAUCAAGAACCUUGGAGCACUCUUACUAACAAAGUGGAGGAGGCAAGGAGGGAGGCUAGGCUCAAGGACUUCAAGGAACAAAGGGCUUGGAGGUGGUCCAUCCUUGGUCUCAAGUCUAGAUCAAGAGGUAUAAGACUAAACUUUCACCUUGUUCUUUACUAAAAUGUUUUGAUGCAUUAUAUAUAAACCUAUGAACCUUGAAGGGGAUUUGCAUGACUAUAGCUUUGAUAUUAUUUGAUAAAUUGCUUCCGUUGCUCAUGUAUAUAAAUUUUGAAUUGUAUAUGCAUGCUAGUCAUUUAGAAAUCCCAUGUGUUAAGCUCAUAAUUUUCCCUUCACUUACUAUGCCGUCCAAGACAUGGAUGAACAACUGCUGCUCGAAGAAGAGGAGAAUAACAAGGCAACGGCAAAGGAAGAACCACAUUUGCCGCAGCCCCAUAUGCCCUCUAUGCUGUCCAUUAGAACCAAGGUAAGCCUAAAUUCAAUUUGUCCUGACCCCGUUUCACCAAAUGUCCUUAUUGCUUGCAGGAUCAUGCAAUCCAAGGAAGAAGCGGGUGAGAAAGGCAUAUUCGAAACCUUUCCAAAGUAAUCAAGAGCAAGAAGUGGAUAAGGAAUGUCUAGAAUUCAUCAAAGAAGAUACACUUG